Molecule: long non-coding RNA, 1046 nt
Organism: Anolis carolinensis (green anole)
Lineage: Eukaryota; Metazoa; Chordata; Lepidosauria; Squamata; Anolidae
Exons: 2
Source: RefSeq, a predicted model, not a curated record
UGGUUGAGCCUUAUGGCUCCGAUACUGGGAGACGUGGUCGUAAGACUCCUCGGGAGUCAGACUCUCUUGAGGAGCGAGAAAGGAAACGGCUGCGGGACUUAUUUGCAGAACCAACUGACGAAGACUCCUUUGAGGGUUUUACCGAGGGAAUGGAGGAAGAGAUGGUUAGCUCAGAGGAGGAUGAUAUGGAAUGGACUCGUGUGAGGGAGGAUUUGGGUGCCACCGGCAAUGAUAGUAUGGGAGGCGACUGGGGAGUUGCAGGAUUAGACCCGUGGACGAGCUGGAGGGAUGGGACGGGAUCCACAGCUGGGGAUGCUGUGGGGCGUAGUCAAAGGUGUUUUAGCUCUGAUGAGGAGGAGGAUGAUGAGACACCUGGAAUUAGGGUAACAGCUGACAGCGAUGAGGAGUUGUAAACUGGUAUAAAAUGGGGUUUAGAAUCCAGGGCUAAUUGCGUUGGGCAAGGUAAUCUGGACGAACGCUUGGGCUCUUGUUGGGAAUUUCCUGAAGACGGGUGUGAUUCGUUUGCUGAAUACCUUGGACCUCCGUCGUCUUUUUGACGGACAUUAAUUGCCUACUCUGGAUUGACGCUGGACUGACUGACUGACUGCGACCUCGGACUAUCCCUUCUGUGAUUAUCGGUGGAACUGGUGAACUAAAGACGUCUGUACCUGGCCUUCGACCUUGGACCGGAUUGGGACCCCGCUGACUGCUUCUGCCCUGAUUGAUGUGUUUGAACCCGGAGUUCGCUUGCUGCACGGAGGAGUAGUAACUUAGUUAAUCAACCACAGCUGUUGAGUAGCAGAGAGUAAUCUGCUGCCAGUUAUUUAUGUUUCUUUGAAUCUUUGUUUACGAGUUUUUGUUUGUUUUAAGUGCCAGGCUGAAGUAAGCAUUUUUGGUUUAACCCGGAUUAAACUCCCGUUUAAUCCGGUUUAUCUUUUGAACUGUUUUUUAGUGUCUUUUCAUAUUGAAGGCGAGUCUUUGCCUAGCCCUUUGUCUUUUACGGGCAUUUUUGGUUCUGUAUCUUUAAUAAACUGUGUUGAAUCUUA